RNAcentral lists this ribosomal RNA (477 nucleotides) under uncultured bacterium. Its description in RNAcentral is "partial 16S ribosomal RNA". It matches the Rfam family "Bacterial small subunit ribosomal RNA", at positions 28 to 501 of the family's 1533-position model. The record is from RNAcentral.
GACGAACGCUGGCGGCGUGCUUAACACAUGCAAGUCGAGCGAUGAAACACCUCCGGGUGCGGAUUAGCGGCGAACGGGUGAGGAACACGUGAGGAAUCUGCCUUCCACUCUGGGAUAACUCCGGGAAACCGGGGCUAAUACCGGAUACUUUCAACUGGCGGCAUCGCCGGUUGAAGAAAGUUUUUCGGUGGAAGAUGACCUCGCGGCCUAUCAGCUGGUUGGGGAGGUAAAGGCUCACCAAGGCGACGACGGGUAGCCGGCCUGAGAGGACGACCAGCCACACUGGGACUGAGACACGGCCAGACUCCUACGGGAGGCAGCAGUGGGGAAUUUUGGACAAUGGGCGCAAGCCUGAUCCAGCCAUGCCGCGUGCGGGAAGAAGGCCUUCGGGUUGUAAACCGCUUUUGUCAGGGAAGAAACGCUCUGGGCUAAUACCCCGGGGUAAUGACGGUACCUGAAGAAUAGGCACCGGCUAAC